CAUCAGACCUGAGGACAGAAGGGUUCGGGCUGCAAGGAAUCCUAUUGUGUGAGAGCCAUGACACAGUGAGUGGGAGUUUUGAUCUUGACCUCCUGGAGCAUUUUCAUGGAAAAGGCAGUUCCAGGAUUCUUUGUGGCCUCUUCCACAGGAGAAAGUAAAGGAGCUAGAGGCCUCUAAAAAUUUAGUUAUUGAAGAACUGAAGUUAUUCACAGCAACCUGGCAGAAGAGAAUGUGAAAUACGUGGGUCUCAGGUAAUAGGUAAUAUCCCUAAUUCCACGGUGAUGCUGAGAAGCAGAGGGCGCCCUCAGAAGUAGUUUCUCUUAAGGAAUUUGCAGCUGGCCUACAAGAACAGGACCACAGAAUCAGGUCCUGUAAAAGGGUAUGUAAAAGUUGUAUUUUUUGCACAUCUGUCUUGUAUUCUGAGUCACACUCCUCUCAUUGAUUAUCCUUCACAAUAGCCGUUGUUUUAACAGCGUUAUGGAGAUAAAGUUGAGAUGGCAUAUAAUUCACCCAUUUAAAGUAUAAGAUUCAAUGGCUUUUAGUAUAUUCACAGAGUUGUACAAGUGUUACCACAAUCAAUUAAAAAAUGUUUUGGUUACUGUAGCCUUGUAGUAUAGUUUGAAGUCAGGUAGCGUGAUGCCUCCAGCUUUGUUCUUUUGGCUUAGGAUUGACUUGGCGAUGCGGGCUCUUUUUUGGUUCCAUAUGAACUUUAAAGUAGUUUUUUCCAAUUCUGUGAAGAAAGUCAUUGGUAGCUUGAUGGGGAUGGCAUUGAAUCUAUAAAUUACCUUGGGCAGUAUGGCCAUUUUCACCAAAACAGCAUGGUACUGGUACCAAAACAGAUAUAGAUCAAUGGAACAGAACAGAGCCCUCAGAAAUAAUGCCGCAUAUCUACAACUAUCUGAUCUUUGACAAACCCGAGAAAAACAAGCAAUGGGGAAAGGAUUCCCUAUUUAAUAAAUGGUGCCGAGAAAACUGGCUAGCCAUAUGUAGAAAGCUGAAACUGGAUCCCUUCCUUACACCUUAUACAAAAAUUAACUCAAGAUGGAUUAAAGACUUAAACAUUAGACCUAAAACCAUAAAAACCCUAGAAGAAAACCUAGGCAUUACCAUUCAGGACAUAGGCAUGGGCAAGGAUUUCAUGUCUAGAACACCAAAAGCAAUGGCAACAAAAGCCAAAAUUGACAAAUGGGAUCUAAUUAAACUAAAGAGCUUCUGCACAGCAAAAGAAACUACCAUCAGAGUGAACAGGCAACCUACAAAAUGAGAAAAAAUUUUUGCAGCCUACUCAUCUGACAAAGAGCUAAUAUCCAGAAUCUACAAUGAACUCAAACAAAUUUACAAGAAAAAAAA
RNAcentral lists this long non-coding RNA (1350 nucleotides) under Homo sapiens (human). RNAcentral describes it as "RCAN2 divergent transcript (RCAN2-DT)". The record is from RNAcentral. Lineage: Eukaryota; Metazoa; Chordata; Mammalia; Primates; Hominidae.